Molecule: ribosomal RNA, 450 nt
Filed under: uncultured bacterium
Lineage: Bacteria
Description: bacterial SSU rRNA
Rfam family: Bacterial small subunit ribosomal RNA
Source: RNAcentral
GUGGGGAAUUUUGGACAAUGGGCGCAAGCCUGAUCCAGCAAUGCCGCGUGCAGGAAGAAGGCCUUCGGGUUGUAAACUGCUUUUGUACGGAACGAAACGGUCCUGGUUAAUACCUGGGGCUAAUGACGGUACCGUAAGAAUAAGCACCGGCUAACUACGUGCCAGCAGCCGCGGUAAUACGUAGGGUGCGAGCGUUAAUCGGAAUUACUGGGCGUAAAGCGUGCGCAGGCGGUGCUGUAAGACAGGCGUGAAAUCCCCGGGCUCAACCUGGGAAUUGCGCUUGGGACUGCAGUGCUUGAGUACGGCAGAGGGGGAUGGAAUUCCGCGUGUAGCAGUGCAAUGCGUAGAUAUGCGGAGGAACACCGAUGGCGAAGGCAGUCCCCUGGGCCUGUACUGACGCUCAUGCACGAAAGCGUGGGGAGCAAACAGGAUUAGAAACCCCAGUAGUCC